GACACACCUAGAAGCUGCUGGUAAUCAGCUCACCUCUGUGCAACUGAUUCCUUUACAGCUGACGAAAUCCCUCACUUCUGGGAAAAGGAGUGUAACCUGGAACAUUAAGGGAGACAUGGAGCAAACAUGAGGAGACAGGCUGAGGAGACAAGGAUGAAACACAAGGAGAGGAACAAAGGAACAGGAACCAGAAUCGAUGGACUGGACUGCUUACGGUGAACAACCAGUUCCUGGCCGUGCUGCUGGACCAUCUGUCUCCUCCAUGGAUGACGACGUCACCCCAAUGGAGAUAGACUAAAAGGUUCAGCAUACCAAAAGAAAAUUCUGUGAUCACCCACUUGUAUUCUGUGGUCUUCCAGGCCUUUGGGUGUUACUGACUGGGUCAGUGCACAUCUUUUUUUAAGAAUGAACCAGACUGAUUUGGAAACUCCUUUGGGUUGUGUAUAAAUGGCUUUAAUUUCUACAAAAGUUAAUGCAAUAUUUUUGCUGUGAAUUAAAGCUAUGGAUGAAUGGAUGUAUGGAAUAAGGGAUACUCCUGAUUGUAUUUGGUGGCUUUUCAAUUAUUUAUGUAUCUGACUAUAUAUAAACAAUGUAUGAUGUUUCUUUUUUCUGUUUUGUAUUUCUCACAGUGAAAGAAGAGGAUGACAAUCAUAACAUUUCUGCUUGGGCAAUUACAGUUGAUCCUGCAACAAUUUGGUUUUUGUUUUUUUUUUUAGAUAAUUUUGUAAAUUUCAUUUCUCAAACCCUAAGCUGCUGUAAUCAAGUGUUACUAUAAAAGCAAGUAGAAGUCAAUUUUUUUUAAUGCAGCAGCUAAUUUCUUCCUGUUGGCUUUAAAGCGGGUUGACGGACCUUUUUUCACAAGAAUAUAUCUUGAAAAGUACUUGAUAUAUGAAACUAAAAUUACAUAGUACAUAUUACAUAUACAUAUUACAUACAUAUAAAAUUACAUAGUACAUAUUACAUAUUUUGUACAAAUUUUAAAGACAUUACACAGAUUUGGGACCAAUCAGGAAAAAUAAUCUCUAACCCAGCUCAAAUUAAUUAUGUUUUUUAUGCUAUUUUAUAAACCCCUUUAUAAAUCUGAAUCACAGUAGUAAAACUCAAAUAAAAUACUUUUCUUUUGGGAACUUAAGCUUACCAAGGGUAGGCCAAUGGUAAUAAAAAAUUAGAUGCUCCAAUAUAUAUGUCCAAACUGAACCAUAAUAUGUCUAUUGCAAAUUGGAGAAUGUUCUAGAAAUUUAAAUAGAUUAUUAUUUUUAUUCUAAUUUGAGUACAGUUUUUGAGAUGUUCAUUUUCAAGCAUUGCCAUAUAUAGCAUCUGAUAUGCAUUUUUUCCCCUUUUUUUGUGACAAGUAUUCUAUAUGGUUUAUUUUUUGGUAUUGUAAAAUUCAACUACAUAUCAUUCAGAAAUUAAAUUGCUGUGAACAAACAUUGGACUUUUUUUUCAUAUUUUAACUAGCCAAAACUUGAUGGUAAAAAACAACAAGAGAAAAUACAGACUUUUAUCUUUAAUGGAGUUUGAAAUAUUUAUGUUCAAAUACUGAACAUUGAUGUGUUCUUAAA
Molecule: long non-coding RNA, 1562 nt
Organism: Astatotilapia calliptera (eastern happy)
Lineage: Eukaryota; Metazoa; Chordata; Actinopteri; Cichliformes; Cichlidae
Source: Ensembl